GAUGAAGAACGUAGCGAAAUGCGAUACGUAAUGUGAAUUGCAAAUUCAGUGAAUCAUCGAGUCUUUGAACGCACAUUGCGCCCCCUGGUAUUCCGGGGGGCAUGCCUGUCCGAGCGUCAUUGCUGCCCUCAAGCACGGCUUGUGUGUUGGGCCCCGUCCUCCGAUCCCGGGGGACGGGCCCGAAAGGCAGCGGCGGCACCGCGUCCGGUCCUCGAGCGUAAGGGGCUUUGUCACCCGCUCUGUAGGCCCGGCCGGCGCUUGCCGAUCAACCCAAAUUUUUAUCCAGGUUGACCUCGGAUCAGGUAGGGAUACCCGCUGAACUUAAGCAUAUCAAUAAGCGGAGGA
This 345-nucleotide unclassified non-coding RNA is filed under the name soil metagenome. Its description in RNAcentral is "partial contains 5.8S ribosomal RNA, internal transcribed spacer 2, and large subunit ribosomal RNA". The stretch from base 1 to 119 matches the Rfam family "5.8S ribosomal RNA", at positions 35 to 154 of the family's 154-position model. The record is from RNAcentral.